RNAcentral lists this ribosomal RNA (878 nucleotides) under Klebsiella pneumoniae. Its description in RNAcentral is "partial 23S ribosomal RNA". It matches the Rfam family "Bacterial large subunit ribosomal RNA", at positions 419 to 1299 of the family's 2925-position model. The record is from RNAcentral. RNAcentral also lists the same sequence under 1 other name. Lineage: Bacteria; Pseudomonadati; Pseudomonadota; Gammaproteobacteria; Enterobacterales; Enterobacteriaceae.
GGGACACGUGGUAUCCUGUCUGAAUAUGGGGGGACCAUCCUCCAAGGCUAAAUACUCCUGACUGACCGAUAGUGAACCAGUACCGUGAGGGAAAGGCGAAAAGAACCCCGGCGAGGGGAGUGAAAAAGAACCUGAAACCGUGUACGUACAAGCAGUGGGAGCACCUUCGGGUGUGACUGCGUACCUUUUGUAUAAUGGGUCAGCGACUUAUAUUCUGUAGCAAGGUUAACCGUAUAGGGGAGCCGCAGGGAAACCGAGUCUUAACUGGGCGUUAAGUUGCAGGGUAUAGACCCGAAACCCGGUGAUCUAGCCAUGGGCAGGUUGAAGGUUGGGUAACACUAACUGGAGGACCGAACCGACUAAUGUUGAAAAAUUAGCGGAUGACUUGUGGCUGGGGGUGAAAGGCCAAUCAAACCGGGAGAUAGCUGGUUCUCCCCGAAAGCUAUUUAGGUAGCGCCUCGUGAACUCAUCUUCGGGGGUAGAGCACUGUUUCGGCUAGGGGGUCAUCCCGACUUACCAACCCGAUGCAAACUACGAAUACCGAAGAAUGUUAUCACGGGAGACACACGGCGGGUGCUAACGUCCGUCGUGAAGAGGGAAACAACCCAGACCGCCAGCUAAGGUCCCAAAGUCAUGGUUAAGUGGGAAACGAUGUGGGAAGGCACAGACAGCCAGGAUGUUGGCUUAGAAGCAGCCAUCAUUUAAAGAAAGCGUAAUAGCUCACUGGUCGAGUCGGCCUGCGCGGAAGAUGUAACGGGGCUAAACCAUGCACCGAAGCUGCGGCAGCGACACUAUGUGUUGUUGGGUAGGGGAGCGUUCUGUAAGCCUGCGAAGGUGUGCUGUGAGGCAUGCUGGAGGUAUCAGAAGUGCGAAUGCUG